RNAcentral lists this long non-coding RNA (204 nucleotides) under Sorghum bicolor (sorghum). Its description in RNAcentral is "long non-coding RNA (SBIC_LNC011771)". Lineage: Eukaryota; Viridiplantae; Streptophyta; Magnoliopsida; Poales; Poaceae. The record is from RNAcentral.
AAGAAUUGAGUACCACGGUAGUCCACUUCUACCUGAGGAGGCAAAUGCAUAUUAAGUUUCCAUGUCUCCUUGAGUUGUAAGCAAAAAAAAAUAUAGUAGUCAAGAUGGACUUUGAUCAAUUAUGAAUGGUAGAUACACAAUGGGUUUUGUUCACGAGGUGUGACCUUGAGAUAUAAGUGUUUACAUUUGGUAUGCAAGUUGAGA